GAUGAACGCUGGCGGCGUGCCUAACACAUGCAAGUCGAACGGAGAUUCCGGACGGAAGUUUUCGGAUGGAAGCCUGUAAUUCUUAGUGGCGGACGGGUGAGUAACGCGUGGGCAACCUGCCCUAUACAGGGGGAUAGCAGCUGGAAACGGCUGGUAAGACCGCAUAAGUCGGUUAAAUCGCAUGAUUUGAUCGGGAAAUGAGCAAUCAGGUAUAGGAUGGGCCCGCGUCCGAUUAGCCAGUUGGCAGGGUAAAAGCCUACCAAAGCGACGAUCGGUAGCCGGACUGAGAGGUCGGACGGCCACAUUUGGACUGGGACACGGCCCAAACUCCUACGGGAGGCAGCAGUGGGGGAUAUUGCACAAUGGAGGAAACUCUGAUGCAGCGACGCCGCGUGAGUGAAGAAGUAUUUCGGUAUGUAAAGCUCUAUCAGCAGGGAAGAUGAUGACGGUACCUGACGAAGAAGCCCCGGCUAACUACGUG
This 481-nucleotide ribosomal RNA is filed under the name uncultured bacterium. Its description in RNAcentral is "partial 16S ribosomal RNA". It matches the Rfam family "Bacterial small subunit ribosomal RNA", at positions 28 to 507 of the family's 1533-position model. The record is from RNAcentral.